AACGAACGCUGGCGGCAUGCCUAACACAUGCAAGUCGAACGAUGCCUUCGGGCAUAGUGGCGCACGGGUGCGUAACGCGUGGGAAUCUGCCUUUCGGUUCGGAAUAACUCAGGGAAACUUGAGCUAAUACCGGAUAACGUCGCAAGACCAAAGAUUUAUCACCGAAAGAUGAGCCCGCGCAGGAUUAGCUAGUUGGUGAGGUAAAGGCUCACCAAGGCGACGAUCCUUAGCUGGUCUGAGAGGAUGAUCAGCCACACUGGGACUGAGACACGGCCCAGACUCCUACGGGAGGCAGCAGUGGGGAAUAUUGGACAAUGGGCGAAAGCCUGAUCCAGCAAUGCCGCGUGAGUGAUGAAGGCCUUAGGGUUGUAAAGCUCUUUUACCCGGGAAGAUAAUGACGGUACCGGGAGAAUAAGCCCCGGCUAACUCCGUG
RNAcentral lists this ribosomal RNA (433 nucleotides) under uncultured bacterium. RNAcentral's name for it is "partial 16S ribosomal RNA". It matches the Rfam family "Bacterial small subunit ribosomal RNA", at positions 29 to 507 of the family's 1533-position model. The record is from RNAcentral.